RNAcentral lists this ribosomal RNA (742 nucleotides) under uncultured bacterium. RNAcentral describes it as "bacterial SSU rRNA". It matches the Rfam family "Bacterial small subunit ribosomal RNA", at positions 38 to 788 of the family's 1533-position model. The record is from RNAcentral.
GGCGGUGCGCCUUAUGCAUGCAAGUCGAGCGAAGCUUUUCAGUAGUUUACUACAGAAAAUGACUGAGCGGCGAACGGGUGAGUAACGCGUGAGCAAUCUACCUUAGUUACAGGGAUAGCCCGAGGAAACUCGGAUUAAUACCUGAUAUUCUUUAUUUCUCGCAUGAGAAUAAAAGGAAAGGUCAGCCGAACUAAGAUGAGCUCGCGUUCUAUCAGCUAGUUGGUGAGGUAAAAGCUUACCAAGGCUACGACGGAUAGCUGGUCUGAGAGGACGAUCAGCCACACUGGGACUGAGACACGGCCCAGACUCCUACGGGAGGCUGCAGCAGGGAAUAUUGUGCAAUGAACGAAAGUUUGACACAGCGACACCGCGUGUGGGAUGACGGAUCUAGGUUUGUAAACCACUUUCAGGAGGGAAGAAAAUGACGGUACCUCCACAAGAAGCCCCGGCCAACUACGUGCCAGCAGCCGCGGUAAUACGUAGGGGGCGAGCGUUGUCCGGAUUUAUUGGGCGUAAAGAGCUCGUAGGCGGUUCAACAAGUCGGUCGUGAAAGUUCAGGGCUCAACCCUGAAAUGUCGAUCGAUACUGUUGUGACUAGGAUACGGUAGAGGUGAGUGGAAUUCCGAGUGUAGCGGUGAAAUGCGUAGAUAUUCGGAGGAACACCAAUUGCGAAGGCAGCUCACUGGGCCGCUAUCGACGCUGAGGAGCGAAAGCUAGGGGAGCAAACAGGAUUAGAUACCCU